CUGCUCAACGGUAGGAAACAGGUCCAUCUGCAAAACUCCACUACGGAUGCUAUCGAGACGUUCAUCGAGCCCAUCAAGGAAGGUGUAAACUCUGUCUUCCUGGGUCAAAUUAUUGAAGUGGCGGAUGUCAGCGGCACACUUCAUUGGAUUUGGGCGACGGAAGUCAAUUUCGCGCCACAACCCCUGCAGUUCAGUGUAAUAUUUCUCCACAGAUCCGCCUGCUUGUCUUAG
RNAcentral lists this long non-coding RNA (231 nucleotides) under Olea europaea (common olive). Its description in RNAcentral is "long non-coding RNA (OEUR_LNC009004)". Lineage: Eukaryota; Viridiplantae; Streptophyta; Magnoliopsida; Lamiales; Oleaceae. The record is from RNAcentral.